Molecule: long non-coding RNA, 1856 nt
Filed under: Homo sapiens (human)
Lineage: Eukaryota; Metazoa; Chordata; Mammalia; Primates; Hominidae
Description: long independently transcribed non-coding RNA 1518 (LINC01518)
Source: RNAcentral
AGAACAUUGGCUGCGACGACAGCGACUGAAGCGCAGCUGGAGUGGUAAGAUGGCGGACGAGCAGCUGCAGCAGCUCCGUGCGGUGCUACAGGGGGAGGGGAAGGUGGUUUCUCCUGACACAAGCUGGAGGCCGGAGCCUGUGGCACCCUGGCUUGCCUCACUGAAGCUGGUGGCUGUGACAGGGACUGCACGGCUGCUGGAGUGGUAGAAAGGCAGCCCAGGUAGGCUUUUCUGACUUUACUGGCCCAGCUGCUCUGUGCCAGAAGGAGGAGCAACCUGCCACACGCUGGAGGGUGGAGGCUGGAGCCUGGAGCCUGGGACGUGGCGGCUGGCGUCACUGCGGAAGCCAUCAUUCUGUAGAAGGCAGUGACGGAACAGUACCAGCAGAAAUUGAAGGACCAGCAGAAGGGAUCAUGGCCAAAGUUGCAGUGUCCCCCCGCUCGUUGAAGAUGAGGAGUUCUCAGAGAGCGGGAUGUUUGUGACAUUCCUCAUGUCAGCUCUCGAGUCCAUGACUCUCACUCGGUCGUCCAGGCUGGAGUGCAGUGGCACCAUCUUGGCUCAUUGCAACAUCUGGCUCCCAGGUUCAAUCGAUUCUUCUGCCUCAGCCUUCUGAGUAGCUGGAAUUAACAGGUGUAUGCCAACUUAUCUGGCUAAUUUUGUUGUGUAUUUUUCUUUCAGUACAGACUGGGUUUCACCAUGUUGGCCAUGCUGGUCUUGAGCUCCUCACCUCAGGUGAUCCACAUGCCUCAGCCUCCUAAAGUGCUGGGAUUAUAGGCGUCAGCCACCGCUUCUGGCCUAGAUCAUUAACAUAUCACUAUGAUACUAAAAUUCCCUCUGCCAAAGAAAAUCUUGCCAUUUUGUGACAUGAGUUGUAUAAAGAUGUAUGUUUAUAUGCACUGAACCUGUGCACCUAGAGUUCCACCCUGCUCAUGCUAACGUUGUUCUCCCUCCCCGUACCUAGUUCUUAAAAACUCCAUGCCUUCCAUUUUUCAGGGAAAGGGUGUCUUUAGAGCAAGAACUCUUUUCUUCUCCAUCCCAGGCAGGGAAAAAACCCACUUGGCCUUGUUUCUGAUUGGGUUUUCUUGCUUUGCGACUAAUACAAAGCAGGAAAAAACUCCCUUUAUCAGUGAUAAAAACAAGUAAGAUUAUUAUUUACCCACCUAUUCUAGCUAGGGGUCAUGGGUGGCCGGAGUCUCUCCUAGCAACUCAGGGCGCUAGGCAGAACCAGCCCUGGAUCUGGAAUAGGGUGCCAUCAUAUGGCAGAGUGUACAUACACACACACACACACACACACACACACACACACACAGAGCUCAAAUGGGGACUAUUUAGAAAUGAUAGUUCACAUAAUGGGCACAUCUUUGAGAUGUGGGAGGAAACUGGGAGUACCCAGUGAAAACCCAUGUGGACCUGGGGAGAAUGUGUAAAGGACACACAGGAAGUGGCCAGCUGGGAGUUGAUUGUUUUUUCUUAUCAACAUUACAAUGAAAUGAUACUGAACGAAAUGACAUUAUUCAAGUACCUGCUGUAAUAGUCAGACUCCUUCAUAUAAAAUUCAAAGCCCUCUACACUCGGGCACUACAUUGGACUUCCAUCCUACACCUACAUUCUAGCCACUGUACUACACAUCAUUUACCAAAGGCGCUGUAUACUUCUGUGCUACCAAACAUUUGCCAGUCUGGUUCCCUCUGCAUUUCAAGAUUACACACCCCUCAUAAUCCUGCAAAGCCUUUCGUAUCAAUUUUUCUGUGAAGCUUUUCAGAAUCCACCACCACUCCCACCAUCACCCCAACUCCCUGAGAGGGCAGAUCUCUCUCUCCGUUUGGCAGCCACUUUUAAUAAAGCAUUUUUCACUG